UUGUCCUACGGGAGGCAGCAGUGGGGAAUAUUGCGCAAUGGGGGAAACCCUGACGCAGCAACGCCGCGUGAAGGAAGAAGGCUUUCGGGUUGUAAACCUCUUUUCUUGGGGACGAAGAAAGUGACGGUACCCAAGGAAUAAGCCACGGCUAACUACGUGCCAGCAGCCGCGGUAAUACGUAGGUGGCAAGCGUUAUCCGGAUUUAUUGGGUGUAAAGGGCGUGUAGGCGGGAUUGCAAGUCAGAUGUGAAAACCACGGGCUCAACCUGUGGCCUGCAUUUGAAACUGUAGUUCUUGAGUGCUUGG
This 305-nucleotide ribosomal RNA is filed under the name uncultured bacterium. RNAcentral's name for it is "bacterial SSU rRNA". It matches the Rfam family "Bacterial small subunit ribosomal RNA", at positions 334 to 653 of the family's 1533-position model. The record is from RNAcentral.